GACGAACGCUGGCGGCGUGCUUUACACAUGCAAGUCGAACGGUGAAGGUGGAGCUUGCUCCGCCGGAUCAGUGGCGAACGGGUGAGUAACACGUGGGCAACCUGCCCCUAACUUUGGGAUAACUACUCGAAAGAGUAGCUAAUACCGGAUAUAAAGUCUGUAGGCAUCUAUGGAUUUGGAAAGUUUUUCGGUUAGGGAUGGGCCCGCGGCCUAUCAGCUUGUUGGUGAGGUAGUGGCUCACCAAGGCGACGACGGGUAGCCGGCCUGAGAGGGCGACCGGCCACACUGGGACUGAGACACGGACCAAACUCCUACGGGAGGCAGCAGUGGGGAAUAUUGGACAAUGGGCGCAAGCCUGAUCCAGCCAUGCCGCGUGAGUGAUGAAGGCCUUAGGGUUGUAAAGCUCUUUCGUCCGGGACGAUAAUGACGGUACCGGAAGAAGAAGCCCCGGCUAACUUCGUGCCAGCCGCCGCCGUAA
Molecule: ribosomal RNA, 478 nt
Filed under: uncultured bacterium
Lineage: Bacteria
Description: partial 16S ribosomal RNA
Rfam family: Bacterial small subunit ribosomal RNA
Source: RNAcentral